RNAcentral lists this ribosomal RNA (787 nucleotides) under Streptomyces sp. 9-17-3. RNAcentral describes it as "bacterial SSU rRNA". It matches the Rfam family "Bacterial small subunit ribosomal RNA", at positions 56 to 859 of the family's 1533-position model. Lineage: Bacteria; Bacillati; Actinomycetota; Actinomycetes; Kitasatosporales; Streptomycetaceae. The record is from RNAcentral.
UGCAGUCGUACGAUGAAGCCCUUCGGGGUGGAUUAGUGGCGAACGGGUGAGUAACACGUGGGCAAUCUGCCCUUCACUCUGGGACAAGCCCUGGAAACGGGGUCUAAUACCGGAUAACACUCCUGCCUGCAUGGGCGGGGGUUAAAAGCUCCGGCGGUGAAGGAUGAGCCCGCGGCCUAUCAGCUUGUUGGUGGGGUAAUGGCCUACCAAGGCGACGACGGGUAGCCGGCCUGAGAGGGCGACCGGCCACACUGGGACUGAGACACGGCCCAGACUCCUACGGGAGGCAGCAGUGGGGAAUAUUGCACAAUGGGCGAAAGCCUGAUGCAGCGACGCCGCGUGAGGGAUGACGGCCUUCGGGUUGUAAACCUCUUUCAGCAGGGAAGAAGCGAAAGUGACGGUACCUGCAGAAGAAGCGCCGGCUAACUACGUGCCAGCAGCCGCGGUAAUACGUAGGGCGCAAGCGUUGUCCGGAAUUAUUGGGCGUAAAGAGCUCGUAGGCGGCUUGUCACGUCGGAUGUGAAAGCCCGGGGCUUAACCCCGGGUCUGCAUUCGAUACGGGCAGGCUAGAGUGUGGUAGGGGAGAUCGGAAUUCCUGGUGUAGCGGUGAAAUGCGCAGAUAUCAGGAGGAACACCGGUGGCGAAGGCGGAUCUCUGGGCCAUUACUGACGCUGAGGAGCGAAAGCGUGGGGAGCGAACAGGAUUAGAUACCCUGGUAGUCCACGCCGUAAACGUUGGGAACUAGGUGUUGGCGACAUUCCACGUCGUCGGUGCCGCAGCUAACGCA